This 75-nucleotide antisense RNA is filed under the name Micromonospora nigra. RNAcentral's name for it is "ASpks TB sRNA". It matches the Rfam family "ASpks TB sRNA". The record is from Rfam by way of RNAcentral. Lineage: Bacteria; Bacillati; Actinomycetota; Actinomycetes; Micromonosporales; Micromonosporaceae.
CUUCACCGAACCCAACCAGAGCGGCCGGUCGGCGGGACGGCCCUGCCCGUACGUGGCCAGCAGGGCGGUGGCCUC